This 942-nucleotide ribosomal RNA is filed under the name Microbacterium azadirachtae. RNAcentral's name for it is "bacterial SSU rRNA". It matches the Rfam family "Bacterial small subunit ribosomal RNA", at positions 72 to 1022 of the family's 1533-position model. Lineage: Bacteria; Bacillati; Actinomycetota; Actinomycetes; Micrococcales; Microbacteriaceae. The record is from RNAcentral.
CUGGGAGCUUGCUUCUGGGGGAUUAGUGGCGAACGGGUGAGUAACACGUGAGCAACCUGCCCCUGACUCUGGGAUAAGCGCUGGAAACGGCGUCUAAUACUGGAUACGAGACGGAACCGCAUGGUUACCGUUUGGAAAGAUUUUUCGGUUGGGGAUGGGCUCGCGGCCUAUCAGCUUGUUGGUGAGGUAAUGGCUCACCAAGGCGUCGACGGGUAGCCGGCCUGAGAGGGUGACCGGCCACACUGGGACUGAGACACGGCCCAGACUCCUACGGGAGGCAGCAGUGGGGAAUAUUGCACAAUGGGCGGAAGCCUGAUGCAGCAACGCCGCGUGAGGGAUGACGGCCUUCGGGUUGUAAACCUCUUUUAGCAGGGAAGAAGCGAAAGUGACGGUACCUGCAGAAAAAGCACCGGCUAACUACGUGCCAGCAGCCGCGGUAAUACGUAGGGUGCAAGCGUUAUCCGGAAUUAUUGGGCGUAAAGAGCUCGUAGGCGGUCUGUCGCGUCUGCUGUGAAAUUCCGAGGCUCAACCUCGGGCUUGCAGUGGGUACGGGCAGACUAGAGUGCGGUAGGGGAGAUUGGAAUUCCUGGUGUAGCGGUGGAAUGCGCAGAUAUCAGGAGGAACACCGAUGGCGAAGGCAGAUCUCUGGGCCGUAACUGACGCUGAGGAGCGAAAGGGUGGGGAGCAAACAGGCUUAGAUACCCUGGUAGUCCACCCCGUAAACGUUGGGAACUAGUUGUGGGGUCCUUUCCACGGAUUCCGUGACGCAGCUAACGCAUUAAGUUCCCCGCCUGGGGAGUACGGCCGCAAGGCUAAAACUCAAAGGAAUUGACGGGGACCCGCACAAGCGGCGGAGCAUGCGGAUUAAUUCGAUGCAACGCGAAGAACCUUACCAAGGCUUGACAUACACGAGAACGGGCCAGAAAUGGUCAACUCUUUGGA